RNAcentral lists this ribosomal RNA (497 nucleotides) under uncultured bacterium. Its description in RNAcentral is "partial 16S ribosomal RNA". It matches the Rfam family "Bacterial small subunit ribosomal RNA", at positions 28 to 507 of the family's 1533-position model. The record is from RNAcentral.
GAUGAACGCUGGCGGCAUGCCUAACACAUGCAAGUCGAACGAACGCACGGGAAGCUUGCUCCCCUGAGGUUAGCGGGGGACGGGUGAGUAACACAUGGAUAACCUACCUCUAAGACUGGGAUAAUUACGGGGGACCGGAUCUACUACCGGAUAAUAUUUUGAACCGCAUGGUGCAAGAGUUAAAGACGGUCUUGGUGACACUAAUAGCUGAAUCCGGGCUGGAUUAGCUAGUUGGUAAGGUAACGGCUUACCAAGGCAACGAUGCAUAGCCGACCUGAGAGGGUGAUCGGCCACACUGGAAGUGAGACACGGCACAGACUCCUACGGUAGGCAGCAGUAGGGAAUCUUACGCAAUGGGCGAAAGCGUGAUAGAGCAAAGCCGCGUGAGUGAUGAAGGUGUUCGGAUGGGAAAGCGCUGUUGUUAGGAAAGAAGAAAUGUGUAAGUAACCGUGCACAUCUUGACGGUACCGAAAGAGUAAGCCCCGGCUAACUACGUG